RNAcentral lists this ribosomal RNA (490 nucleotides) under uncultured bacterium. RNAcentral describes it as "partial 16S ribosomal RNA". It matches the Rfam family "Bacterial small subunit ribosomal RNA", at positions 30 to 507 of the family's 1533-position model. The record is from RNAcentral.
AUUGAACGCUGGCGGCAUGCUUUACACAUGCAAGUCGGACGGCAGCACAGAGAAGCUUGCUUCUUGGGUGGCGAGUGGCGAACGGGUGAGUAAUAUAUCGGAACGUACCGAGUAAUGGGGGAUAACUAAUCGAAAGAUUAGCUAAUACCGCAUAUUCUCUGAGGAGGAAAGCAGGGGACCUUCGGGCCUUGCGUUAUUCGAGCGGCCGAUAUCUGAUUAGCUAGUUGGUGGGGUAAAGGCCUACCAAGGCGACGAUCAGUAGCGGGUCUGAGAGGAUGAACCGCCACACUGGGACUGAGACACGGCCCAGACUCCUACGGGAGGCAGCAGUGGGGAAUUUUGGACAAUGGGCGCAAGCCUGAUCCAGCCAUGCCGCGUGUCUGAAGAAGGCCUUCGGGUUGUAAAGGACUUUUGUCAGGGAAGAAAAGGCUGUUGCUAAUACCGACAGCUGAUGACGGUACCUGAAGAAUAAGCACCGGCUAACUACGUG